This 119-nucleotide ribosomal RNA is filed under the name Pteropus alecto (black flying fox). Lineage: Eukaryota; Metazoa; Chordata; Mammalia; Chiroptera; Pteropodidae. The record is from RNAcentral.
GACUAUGGCCACGCCACCCUGAACGUGCCUAAUCUCAUCUGAUCUUGGAAGCUAAGCAGGGCCGGGCCUGGUUAGUACUUGGAUGGGAGACCAUCUAGGAAUACCAGGUGCUGUAGACA